CUUGCUUCGGUUAGUUUGACCAGUUGAAAACAACAAAAUAAGAUACUAGACUUUCUGGUUUGCUUGAAAACGCCAUCCCAACUAACGAAUUUGUAACGCGGGAAAACGAACCCAGGUGGCCGCGAAGUGCUGCUCAUCAUCACGGCGGCGAGUGAAAUUUGUAGAGAAAAAUGAAACUAUGGAGUUUGAGGCAAGGAUUAGAAAUGGAUUUGAGCUUUCAUCUGAAUUUCCUGAAUCUGAAUUCCAAAGAGGAGCAGUGGGAGAAGGUUACUCUGCAAAAAUGUCGGCUAAUAUGGUAACUAGCAGUCGCUGUUGCAGGAGCCUGCUACUCUUGG
RNAcentral lists this unclassified non-coding RNA (335 nucleotides) under Hevea brasiliensis (rubber tree). Lineage: Eukaryota; Viridiplantae; Streptophyta; Magnoliopsida; Malpighiales; Euphorbiaceae. The record is from RNAcentral.